This 246-nucleotide ribosomal RNA is filed under the name uncultured bacterium. Its description in RNAcentral is "partial 16S ribosomal RNA". It matches the Rfam family "Bacterial small subunit ribosomal RNA", at positions 524 to 770 of the family's 1533-position model. The record is from RNAcentral.
UACAGAGGGUGCGAGCGUUGUCCGGAAUCACUGGGCGUAAAGGGCGCGUAGGUGGUUUGAUAAGGGUGUGGUGAAAGUCCGGGGCUCAACCCCGGAUCUGCCGUGCCGACUGUCAAACUCGAGGGCUGUAGAGGCAGACGGAAUUCCGGGUGUGAGCGGUGGAAUGCGUAGAGAUCCGGAGGAAGACCGGUGGCGAAGGCGGUCUGCUGGGCAGUUCUGACACUGAUGCGCGACAGCGUGGGAGCA